This 902-nucleotide long non-coding RNA is filed under the name Selaginella moellendorffii. RNAcentral describes it as "long non-coding RNA (SMOE_LNC000323)". The record is from RNAcentral. Lineage: Eukaryota; Viridiplantae; Streptophyta; Lycopodiopsida; Selaginellales; Selaginellaceae.
AGAGCCCUAAAAAAGUAGAGUGGAAACGGAGGGGAGGAAGCGGCUAUGGCGACGGCAGCUCGUUCCAUCGCUUCAAAGCUCGCGCGCCCGGCAUCCUCGCCUCACCAGAUCAUCCCACGCCGGAUGAUGUCCGCGGGAGGUAUGGGCAAAAUCUUUGAGAACAUCUAGAGCGAGCGGUUUGUUCGCUUUUCCAGGGCACGACGAUGUGCACAGAGUGAAUUGGUACCAGGCGCCGCUCAGCCCCAUGUCUUGGAAGGAGCACCAAGUAAGAAAUCGUGAUUUCCCCUUUCCAUCGAUCGAUCGAGCCAUUUCUUUUCUUUCCCCUUCUUAGAUUGUGCUUGGAGUGAUCUUUGGAUGGGGAGUUGUGGGCUACAGUGGAUACAAGUUUUUCACCAGGAAGAAGUAAGCUUUGUGGAGGUGGAGUUUGGAGUUUGGAGUUUCUUUUUUUCUUCUCUCUUUGUUCCAUCUCUUUGAGAAUAACGAGUGGACAUGAAACUCUGGAGAACGAAGAACUCCAAGAGCUUUUUCGUUUAGCCAGUGUUGCACUGCCAUUCUCGGCUAUCGAUUUCUUUGAGCAGUGCUUUUUCCAGCUCGAGCUCAUGGAUGAUCUCGUCAUAUAUCUUGUCUUCUUUAUCACCUGAGUGAGUAUCACAAAGAGCUCAGCGGAUAGAAAUCAUACCGACGAUUACUUCCACAGAUUUUAUAUACUUUUGGUUGAUGAGAACUUGAGAGAUCAAUCACCUGCUGGAGUUUGGAUCGUCACGAUAAACCCCUUUUGCCUUAGCUCGAUCUCGGCAGCCUCUCGGUUGUAAGUCUCAACCUCGAAACUCAGAGGCUCGGGUGGCGCAUCUCCCUGUAUAACCAAGAACGUUUAGCGAGCUUCCCGAAACGAAACGAAAAGU